RNAcentral lists this ribosomal RNA (876 nucleotides) under Acasta sulcata. RNAcentral describes it as "partial 16S ribosomal RNA". The stretch from base 391 to 593 matches the Rfam family "Bacterial large subunit ribosomal RNA", at positions 1695 to 2031 of the family's 2925-position model. The record is from RNAcentral. Lineage: Eukaryota; Metazoa; Arthropoda; Thecostraca; Balanomorpha; Balanidae.
UUUCUCGAAGUAAAAGAUCUAGAUAAAUUUAUAAGUUUUUGUGUCAAAAAGAUUUAAAAAAUUUAUCUAGGUGUGAAAUUCUUAACGCUUUUACUAAUAUCUAGUAACUUCAGAAAUAAAUUUAGUUUAGAAUGUUUAGGAUGAACUUUCUCUAAAACCAUUUUUAAUCUUUAGGGGAUGAGCUCUAAAGAUUUAUUAUAAGAUAAAUAUUAUCAUUGUUUUUAUAUAGGCUUAGAAUUAGCCAUAGGAUAGUGUUUUAAAAUAUAAUUACAAGUUUGAGAUUUUAAAUUCUUUAUAUGUUUAUGAAGUUAAUUUUUAAAUUUAUUUAAAAGUGUAAAUAUGAUAACAUUAGUAGAAUUAUAUAUUAAUUUUUCUUAUAAUUUUUUUAUAAUAAAUUUAACAAAAGAACUCGGCAAAUUAUAUUUCCGAAUGUUUAUCAAAAACAUUUCCUCCUAGAAUAGGAGGUAAGGCCUGCUCACUGAUCAUUAAAGAGCCGCAGUAUCCUAACUGUGCUAAGGUAGCAUAAUCAUUAGUCUUUUAAUUGAGGACUGGUAUGAAUGGCUAAACGAGAAAUAGACUUUUUUUGUUAUACAAACUGAAUUUAAUUUUUCAGUGAAAAAGCUGAAAUUAUUUAGAAAGACGAGAAGACCCUAUAGAGUUUUAUGUUAUACAAUUGUUAUUUAUAGUAGAUUUUUAUUAAAUUAUAAUUUUUUAACAUUUUGUUGGGGCGACAUUAAGAUAUAUAAAACUCUUUAUUUUUUAUAUUUUUAUGGAAAGUUUAUUGAUCCUCUAAAAGAGAUCAGAAGAAAAAAUUACCUUAGGGAUAACAGCGUAAUCUUUUUUGAGAGUUCUAAUCGACAAAAAGGUUUGCGACCU